Non-coding RNA from Thelonectria olida, 72 nucleotides. Lineage: Eukaryota; Fungi; Ascomycota; Sordariomycetes; Hypocreales; Nectriaceae. The record is from the annotation of a GenBank genome assembly.
GCCUCGUUGGCUAAGUGGUAUAGCGUCUCACUAGUAAUGAGAAGAUCACUGGUUCGAUUCCAGUACGAGGCA